GGGUGAGUAAUGUUUGGAAAACUGCCUGAUGGAGGGGGAUAACUACUGGAAACGGUAGCUAAUACCGCAUAACGUCGCAAGACCAAAGAGGGGGACCUUCGGGCCUCUUGCCAUCGGAUGUGCCCAGAUGGGAUUAGCUAGUAGGUGGGGUAACGGCUCACCUAGGCGACGAUCCCUAGCUGGUCUGAGAGGAUGACCAGCCACACUGGAACUGAGACACGGUCCAGACUCCUACGGGAGGCAGCAGUGGGGAAUAUUGCACAAUGGGCGCAAGCCUGAUGCAGCCAUGCCGCGUGUAUGAAGAAGGCCUUCGGGUUGUAAAGUACUUUCAGCGGGGAGGAAGGGAGUAAAGUUAAUACCUUUGCUCAUUGACGUUACCCGCAGAAGAAGCACCGGCUAACUCCGUGCCAGCAGCCGCGGUAAUACGGAGGGUGCAAGCGUUAAUCGGAAUUACUGGGCGUAAAGCGCACGCAGGCGGUUUGUUAAGUCAGAUGUGAAAUCCCCGGGCUCAACCUGGGAACUGCAUCUGAUACUGGCAAGCUUGAGUCUCGUAGAGGGGGGUAGAAUUCCAGGUGUAGCGGUGAAAUGCGUAGAGAUCUGGAGGAAUACCGGUGGCGAAGGCGGCCCCCUGGACGAAGACUGACGCUCAGGUGCGAAAGCGUGGGGAGCAAACAGGAUUGGAUACCCUGGUAGUCCACGCCGUAAACGAUGUCGACUUGGAGGUUGUGCCCUUGAGGCGUGGCUUCCGGAGCUAACGCGUUAAGUCGACCGCCUGGGGAGUACGGCCGCAAGGUUAAAACUCAAAUGAAUUGACGGGGGCCCGCACAAGCGGUGGAGCAUGUGGUUUAAUUCGAUGCAACGCGAAGAACCUUACCUGGUCUUGACAUCCACGGAAGUUUUCAGAGAUGAGAAUGUGCCUUCGGGAACCGUGAGACAGGUGCUGCAUGGCUGUCGUCAGCUCGUGUUGUGAAAUGUUGGGUUAAGUCCCGCAACGAGCGCAACCCUUAUCCUUUGUUGCCAGCGGUCCGGCCGGGAACUCAAAGGAGACUGCCAGUGAUAAACUGGAGGAAGGUGGGGAUGACGUCAAGUCAUCAUGGCCCUUACGACCAGGGCUACACACGUGCUACAAUGGCGCAUACAAAGAGAAGCGACCUCGCGAGAGCAAGCGGACCUCAUAAAGUGCGUCGUAGUCCGGAUUGGAGUCUGCAACUCGACUCCAUGAAGUCGGAAUCGCUAGUAAUCGUGGAUCAGAAUGCCACGGUGAAUACGUUCCCGGGCCUUGUACACACCGCCCGUCACACCAUGGGAGUGGGUUGCAAAAGAAGAAGGUAGCUUAACCUUCGGGAGGGCGCUUACCACUUUGUGAUUCAUGACUGGGGUGAAGUCGUAACAAGGUA
Molecule: ribosomal RNA, 1397 nt
Filed under: metagenome
Description: bacterial SSU rRNA
Rfam family: Bacterial small subunit ribosomal RNA
Source: RNAcentral